UCGAGUCUAAAAAACUCCCUAAACCAUUGUGAACUUACCUAUUCGUUGCUUCGGUGGGCGACCCCUCUAGGGGUCCUUGGUCGCAAGGCGCCCGCCGAAGGUUAUUUAACUCUUGCUUUUUUAUUGUCACAUCUGAGUUAUUACAAAAAUAAUCAAAACUUUCAACAACGGAUCUCUUGGCUCUAGCAUCGAUGAAGAACGCAGCGAAAUGCGAUAAGUAAUGCGAAUUGCAGAAUUCCGCGAGUCAUCGAAUCUUUGAACGCACAUUGCGCCUGCCAGUAUUCUGGCAGGCAUGCCUGUCCGAGCGUCAUUUCAACCCCCCGGCCCUCGUUGCCUGUUGUUGGGGCGUUCAGGGCGGUCCUACGACCCCCUGAGCCCUGAAAAGCAGUGGCGGGCUCGCCAGGUCACCGAGCGUAGUAAUUUUCUCUCGCUUAGGGGCCCUGGCGGGUGCCAGCCGUGAAAACGCAGAAGCUCUGCUUCUACACAAUAGUGGUUUGACCUCGGAUCAGGUAGGAAUACCCGCUGAACUUAAGCAUAUCAAUAAGCGGAGGAUCGCGUACUUGGUCAUUUAGAGGAAGUAAAAGUCGUAACAAGGUCUCCGUUGGUGAACCAGCGGAGGGAUCAUUACAGAAGUCGAAAGGCUACCUUAAACCAUCGCUGAACCUUAUCCAGUUGCUUCGGCGGGCGCGGCCCCCAGCGGCCCCCCCCGGCCCUCUCAGAGGUAGGGCAGCCGCCGGAGGAUACAAACUCUGUACAUUAGUGGUAUCUCUGAGUAUAUACUGAAUAAGUA
RNAcentral lists this unclassified non-coding RNA (790 nucleotides) under soil metagenome. Its description in RNAcentral is "partial contains internal transcribed spacer 1, 5.8S ribosomal RNA, and internal transcribed spacer 2". The stretch from base 157 to 310 matches the Rfam family "5.8S ribosomal RNA". The record is from RNAcentral.